This 727-nucleotide ribosomal RNA is filed under the name uncultured Arcobacter sp. RNAcentral describes it as "bacterial SSU rRNA". It matches the Rfam family "Bacterial small subunit ribosomal RNA", at positions 457 to 1186 of the family's 1533-position model. Lineage: Bacteria; Pseudomonadati; Campylobacterota; Epsilonproteobacteria; Campylobacterales; Arcobacteraceae. The record is from RNAcentral.
AUAAGAAAGAUAAUGACGGUACUAUAUGAAUAAGCGCCGGCUAACUCCGUGCCAGCAGCCGCGGUAAUACGGAGGGCGCAAGCGUUACUCGGAAUCACUGGGCGUAAAGAGCGUGUAGGCGGAUAGAUAAGUCAGAAGUGAAAUCCUAUGGCUCAACCAUAGAACUGCUUUUGAAACUGUUUAUCUAGAGUGUGGGAGAGGUAGGUGGAAUUUCUGGUGUAGGGGUAAAAUCCGUAGAGGACAGAAGGAAUACCGAUUGCGAAGGCGAUCUACUGGAACNUAACUGACGCUGAGACGCGAAAGCGUGGGGAGCAAACAGGAUUAGAUACCCUGGUAGUCCACGCCCUAAACGAUGUCCACUAGUUGUUGUGAGGCUAGACCUUGCAGUAAUGCAGUAAACACAUUAAGUNUACCGCCUGGGGAGUACGGUCGCAAGAUUAAAACUCAAAGGAAUAGACGGGGACCCGCACAAGCGGUGGAGCAUGUGGUUUAAUUCGACGAUACGCGAAGAACCUUACCUGGACUUGACAUAGUAAGAACUUUCUAAAGAUAGAUUGGUGUCUGCUUGCAGAAGCUUAUAUACAGGUGCUGCACGGCUGUCGUCAGCUCGUGUCGUGAGAUGUUGGGUUAAGUCCCGCAACGAGCGCAACCCUCGUCGUUAGUUGCUAACAGUUCGGCUGAGAACUCUAACGAGACUGCCUGGGUAACCAAAUGUUUGGAUCACGUC